CCCUGUUGCACAACUGCUCUUAAACCGAGACCUAUAGGCAGAAUAAUACUUCGUCUCUAAUAUCCAGAAGGGAAGGGAUUUCUGGAAAUAUAGUAUCAC
Molecule: non-coding RNA, 99 nt
Submitted as: unclassified sequences
Source: Rfam